GCAAGUCGAACGGUAACAGGAAACAGCUUGCUGUUUCGCUGACGAGUGGCGGACGGGUGAGUAAUGUCUGGGAAACUGCCUGAUGGAGGGGGAUAACUACUGGAAACGGUAGCUAAUACCGCAUAACGUCGCAAGACCAAAGAGGGGGACCUUCGGGCCUCUUGCCAUCGGAUGUGCCCAGAUGGGAUUAGCUAGUAGGUGGGGUAACGGCUCACCUAGGCGACGAUCCCUAGCUGGUCUGAGAGGAUGACCAGCCACACUGGAACUGAGACACGGUCCAGACUCCUACGGGAGGCAGCAGUGGGGAAUAUUGCACAAUGGGCGCAAGCCUGAUGCAGCCAUGCCGCGUGUAUGAAGAAGGCCUUCGGGUUGUAAAGUACUUUCAGCGGGGAGGAAGGGAGUAAAGUUAAUACCUUUGCUCAUUGACGUUACCCGCAGAAGAAGCACCGGCUAACUCCGUGCCAGCAGCCGCGGUAAUACGGAGGGUGCAAGCGUUAAUCGGAAUUACUGGGCGUAAAGCGCACGCAGGCGGUUUGUUAAGUCAGAUGUGAAAUCCCCGGGCUCAACCUGGGAACUGCAUCUGAUACUGGCAAGCUUGAGUCUCGUAGAGGGGGGUAGAAUUCCAGGUGUAGCGGUGAAAUGCGUAGAGAUCUGGAGGAAUACCGGUGGCGAAGGCGGCCCCCUGGACGAAGACUGACGCUCAGGUGCGAAAGCGUGG
RNAcentral lists this ribosomal RNA (718 nucleotides) under uncultured Pseudomonadota bacterium. RNAcentral's name for it is "bacterial SSU rRNA". It matches the Rfam family "Bacterial small subunit ribosomal RNA", at positions 57 to 764 of the family's 1533-position model. Lineage: Bacteria; Pseudomonadati; Pseudomonadota. The record is from RNAcentral.